This 167-nucleotide ribosomal RNA is filed under the name uncultured fungus. Its description in RNAcentral is "partial contains internal transcribed spacer 1 and 5.8S ribosomal RNA". Lineage: Eukaryota; Fungi. The record is from RNAcentral.
UUACCAAACUGUUGCCUGCAGGCGGGCGGCAGCCCUCGCGCAGCCCCUGGGCCCCACCGCGGGCGCCCGCCGGAGGUACCCAAACUCUUGAUACAUUAUGGCCACUCUGAGUCUUCUGUACUGAAUAAGUCAAAACUUUCAACAACGGAUCUCUUGGUUCUGGCAUC